RNAcentral lists this ribosomal RNA (446 nucleotides) under uncultured bacterium. RNAcentral describes it as "partial 16S ribosomal RNA". It matches the Rfam family "Bacterial small subunit ribosomal RNA", at positions 338 to 795 of the family's 1533-position model. The record is from RNAcentral.
CCUACGGGGGGCUGCAGUCGAGAAACAUUCACAAUGGGGGAAACCCUGAUGGUGCGACGCCGCGUGGGGGAAUGAAGGUCUUCGGAUUGUAAACCCCUGUCAUGUGGGAGCAAAUUAAAAAGAUAGUACCACAAGAGGAAGAGACGGCUAACUCUGUGCCAGCAGCCGCGGUAAUACAGAGGUCUCAAGCGUUGUUCGGAAUCACUGGGCGUAAGGCGUGCGUAGGCUGUUUCGUAAGUCGUGUGUGAAAGGCGCGGGCUCAACCCGCGGACGGCACAUGAUACUGCGAGACUAGAGUAAUGGAGGGGGAACCGGAAUGCUCGGUGUAGCAGUGAAAUGCGUAGAUAUCGAGAGGAACACUCGUGGCGAAGGCGGGUUCCUGGACAUUAACUGACGCUGAGGCACGAAGGCCAGGGGAGCGAAAGGGAUUAGAUACCCUAGUAGUC